AGCCAGACUGGCUUGUCUGUAAUCAAUCUAGGCUUCGGCCUGGAUGCACUUGCAGGCUAUGCCUGCCAACGACAAUUUGACUUGAGGGAAAAAACUAGGGGAAAUGUGGCCCACUUGUGGGUGUUAUAGUCCCUUAGAAAAUACCUUGGGUUGGAUUGAGGAACGCAGCGAAUGCUUAUUGGCGAGUUUUCCAGGAAGGUUUUCUGAGGUACUAC
This 215-nucleotide ribosomal RNA is filed under the name Rhizopus sp. f53. Its description in RNAcentral is "partial 28S ribosomal RNA". The record is from RNAcentral. Lineage: Eukaryota; Fungi; Mucoromycota; Mucoromycetes; Mucorales; Rhizopodaceae.